This 465-nucleotide ribosomal RNA is filed under the name Vreelandella stevensii. Its description in RNAcentral is "partial 16S ribosomal RNA". It matches the Rfam family "Bacterial small subunit ribosomal RNA", at positions 338 to 795 of the family's 1533-position model. The record is from RNAcentral. Lineage: Bacteria; Pseudomonadati; Pseudomonadota; Gammaproteobacteria; Oceanospirillales; Halomonadaceae.
CCUACGGGAGGCAGCAGUGGGGAAUAUUGGACAAUGGGGGGAACCCUGAUCCAGCCAUGCCGCGUGUGUGAAGAAGGCCCUCGGGUUGUAAAGCACUUUCAGUGAGGAAGAACGCCUGGUGGUUAAUACCCAUCAGGAAAGACAUCACUCACAGAAGAAGCACCGGCUAACUCCGUGCCAGCAGCCGCGGUAAUACGGAGGGUGCGAGCGUUAAUCGGAAUUACUGGGCGUAAAGCGCGCGUAGGUGGCUUGAUAAGCCGGUUGUGAAAGCCCCGGGCUCAACCUGGGAACGGCAUCCGGAACUGUCAAGCUAGAGUGCAGGAGAGGAAGGUAGAAUUCCCAGUGUAGCGGUGAAAUGCGUAGAGAUCGGGAGGAAUACCAGUGGCGAAGGCGGCCUUCUGGACUGACACUGACACUGAGGUGCGAAAGCGUGGGUAGCAAACAGGAUUAGAUACCCCAGUAGUC